This 442-nucleotide ribosomal RNA is filed under the name uncultured bacterium. RNAcentral's name for it is "partial 16S ribosomal RNA". It matches the Rfam family "Bacterial small subunit ribosomal RNA", at positions 338 to 795 of the family's 1533-position model. The record is from RNAcentral.
CCUACGGGAGGCAGCAGUAGGGAAUCUUUCACAAUGGGCGAAAGCCUGAUGGAGCAACGCCGCGUGCAGGAUGAAGGCCUUCGGGUUGUAAACUGCUUUUAGAAGCGAGAAAUAUGAUGGUAACUUAUGAAUAAGGAUCGGCUAACUACGUGCCAGCAGCCGCGGUCAUACGUAGGAUCCGAGCGUUAUCCGGAGUGACUGGGUGUAAAGAGUUGCUUAUGUGGCAUAAUAAUUAGCUAGUGAAAUCUGGUGGCUCAACCAUUCAGACUGUUGGCUAAACUGUUACGCUCGAGACCGUUAGGGGUAAGUGGAAUUUCUAGUGUAGGGGUGAAAUGCGUAGAUAUUAGAAGGAACACCAAUAGCGUAGGCAGGUUACUGGGACGGUUCUGACGCUAAGGCACGAAAGCGUAGGGAGCAAACGGGAUUAGAUACCCCAGUAGUC